UGCAAGCCCAACUCCAAAUGUUCUUGGCAGCAGAUCAAGACAAAAUAUCAAAAUAUAAUUCAAAGUGCAAACAGAAAAGUGUGAAAAAUGUGAAACUGGGAAUACACUGUGGCGGAGGAGUUGGCUCUGAGUGGUUAUAAGGGGUGGCCGAUCAUGGAUGGGGUUCAAGAUGCUGCACAUUCUGACCCUGGUGCUGGCUCCUCCAAGCAAGUGACACUGGGUGGAAACAGACUCUGUCAGGGCACUAUAUAAAAGGACCCUGGAACUAGACUGCACACUAAAGGAGUUGUAUUGCCAGCACGUGCCACAGCCUCUAGUCCCUGGCUGUCGGAGACACUUCUAAACAUCAGAUGCCAGUUCUCUACAAUACACCCAUAACCACUCUCUACCAACAUCCUGUGGUGAAUAAUUGGACCAAAUGACAUUCCAGGA
Myxocyprinus asiaticus (Chinese sucker) is the source of this 432-nucleotide long non-coding RNA. RefSeq lists it as uncharacterized. NCBI's taxonomy places the organism in Eukaryota, Metazoa, Chordata, Actinopteri, Cypriniformes, Catostomidae. The transcript is spliced from 4 exons. The record is from RefSeq and is a predicted model, not a curated record.